AGAGUUUGAUCCUGGCUCAGAACGAACGCUGGCGGCAUGCCUAACACAUGCAAGUCGAACGCCCCGCAAGGGGAGUGGCAGACGGGUGCAUAACACGUGGGAACCUACCCUUGGGUUCGGAAUAACCGCGGGAAACUGCGGCUAAUACCGGAUACGUCCUCUGGGAGAAAGAUUCAUCGCCCUUGGAGGGGCCCGCGUCGGAUUAGCUAGUUGGUGAGGUAACGGCUCACCAAGGCGACGAUCCGUAGCUGAUCUGAGAGGAUGAUCAGCCACACUGGAACUGAGACACGGUCCAGACUCCUACGGGAGGCAGCAGUGGGGAAUAUUGGACAAUGGGCGCAAGCCUGAUCCAGCAAUGCCGCGUGAGUGAUGAAGGCCUUCGGGUUGAAAAGCUCUUUUGGCAGGGACGAUAAUGACGGUACCUGCAGAAUAAGCCCCGGCUAACUUCGUGCCAGCAGACGCGGUAAUACGAAGGGGGCUAGCGUCGCUCGGAAUUACUGGGCGUAAAGGGCGCGUAGGCGGAUUCGCUAGUCAGGCGUGAAAUCCCCAGG
RNAcentral lists this ribosomal RNA (551 nucleotides) under uncultured freshwater bacterium. RNAcentral describes it as "bacterial SSU rRNA". It matches the Rfam family "Bacterial small subunit ribosomal RNA", at positions 8 to 607 of the family's 1533-position model. The record is from RNAcentral.